GACGAACGCUGGCGGCGUGCUUAACACAUGCAAGUCGAACGGAAAGGCCCUGCGUUUUAGUGGUGCUCGAGUGGCGAACGGGUGAGUAACACGUAAGUAACCUGCCCGUGACUUUGGGAUAACUUCAGGAAACUGGGGCUAAUACCGGAUAGCAGCUCCUGCUGCAUGGUGGGGGUUGGUAAGUUUCGGCGGGUGGGGAUGGACUCGCGGCUUAUCAGCUUGUUGGUGGGGUAGUGGCUUACCAAGGCUUUGACGGAUAGCCGGCCUGAGAGGGUGACCGGCCACAUUGGGACUGAUAUACGGCCCAGACUCCUACGGGAGGCAGCAGUGGGGAAUAUUGCACAAUGGGCGGAAGGCUGAUGCAGCAACGCAGCGUGCGGGAUGACGGCCCUCGGGUUGCAAACCGCUUUCGCCUGUGACGAAGCGUGAGUGACGGUAAUGGGUAAAGAAGCACCGGCUAACUACGUG
RNAcentral lists this ribosomal RNA (468 nucleotides) under uncultured bacterium. RNAcentral's name for it is "partial 16S ribosomal RNA". It matches the Rfam family "Bacterial small subunit ribosomal RNA", at positions 28 to 507 of the family's 1533-position model. The record is from RNAcentral.